Long non-coding RNA from Homo sapiens (human), 549 nucleotides. The record is from Ensembl. Lineage: Eukaryota; Metazoa; Chordata; Mammalia; Primates; Hominidae.
CUUCAGGCCUGAAGAUAUCUCUCUAUAUACUGCACUGCAUGGGCUUGUGAGAGGAGUGCUGUGGCCACCUGGAUUGGGUGUCCCAUCAUAGUACCCCUGCAGGACUCUGUUCCCUCCAUCUCAAAACCUGUUACACUGCAAUGAAAUGGACUGCUGACUUGUCUCUUUUUCUACAUGUCCCCUCUGAGGCUCCUAGCAAUGGAUGCCGGGAAGGUGACUGAAGCUCUGAGAGCCAACUCUUCGUGAAGCACUUCAGGCUUUUUUCAUCUGCAGGCUCAGCUAACCCUCUCAACGGCUCUUUGAGAAAGGCCAGGUUAUGUCACAGACAGAUCAGGGCUCUUAGGGUCCAAGAGAACAGGCAAUUGGGAAGAAAGAUGGACAUGGAGUCAGGGAUACCAAUGAUGUUCGUGACCAGCAGGAGAAGCUGACACCUUUUGCCAUGAAGUUGCACACACUGGCCCCAAAUCUGAAGUAACUAAAGAAGAAGAUCCAAUAGGAGUGAGAGUUGCUGCUGCGAUGUCAUCAGAGCGAGCUAGCAGGACAGUGGCA